AGAGUUUGAUCAUGGCUCAGGACGAACGCUGGCGGCGUGCCUAACACAUGCAAGUCGAACGGGGAAUAGCAAUAUUCCUAGUGGCGAACGGGUGAGUAACGCGUAGACAACCUGCCUUCUAGACGGGGACAACGUUCCGAAAGGGGCGCUAAUACCGGAUGAGGUGUUUUGUGUGCAUACAUAAGACAAGAAAGGUGGCCUCUAUAUAUAAGCUACCGCUAGAAGAUGGGUCUGCGUCUGAUUAGCUAGUUGGCGGGGUAACGGCCCACCAAGGCGACGAUCAGUAGCCGGUCUGAGAGGAUGAACGGCCACACUGGGACUGAGACACGGCCCAGACUCCUACGGGAGGCAGCAGUGGGGAAUCUUCCGCAAUGGACGAAAGUCUGACGGAGCAACGCCGCGUGAGAGAAGAAGGUUUUCGGAUUGUAAAUCUCUGUCUUCUGGGAAGAAUGGUCUUUAUGUAAAUAAUGUAGAGACAUGACGGUACUAGAGGAGGAAGCCACGGCUAACUACGUGCCAGCCGCCGCGGUAAUAC
RNAcentral lists this ribosomal RNA (535 nucleotides) under uncultured bacterium. Its description in RNAcentral is "bacterial SSU rRNA". It matches the Rfam family "Bacterial small subunit ribosomal RNA", at positions 8 to 526 of the family's 1533-position model. The record is from RNAcentral.